Stomoxys calcitrans (stable fly) is the source of this 845-nucleotide long non-coding RNA. RefSeq lists it as uncharacterized. Lineage: Eukaryota; Metazoa; Arthropoda; Insecta; Diptera; Muscidae. The transcript has 2 exons. The record is from RefSeq and is a predicted model, not a curated record.
AAAGAAGGAUCCAAAAUAUCCAGGAUAGUGAGAAGUUAUAAAAGGGGUGUAAAACGAAAACCAAUAGAAGUCAAGAUCUAUUAAUAACAUUCAUUUGCCGGGGAAUUGUCCCCCUCGAAGUUCAUUCGCCCUCCUUCUCCAAAAUGUUCAGCGGGUCUCUUUGACUGACAGACGGCCGUCCGUGUAUUGUAGACAGUAUUCGUUAUGUCCGUCUGUCUUGUAUAAAUGUUCAUAUAUGUAUGUGUACCUUUUCUUUUUUCUUGUCUCUUACUAAUAUAUUUCUUUUCUUAUACUCUUCUUCUUUUUCAGGCUUCCUUUUAGGUUGGACAAGUGGCUACGGGGUCAAGGAACCCCAAUCUAAAGUCUAGGACCUACCUAAGAUAAGAGCUCAUAUCCUAGCGCCUAUUUGGUUCCCUAUAUCUGGGACGAGAUUACCGUAAAGAGCACUCCCUUGUCUAACCGAACAUCGUCCGUCAGUGUCCUAGUCCUGGAUAUACCGCUGCAACCAGGAGGGCUGCAGAAUGCUGGAUCUCUCACGCUGGACUGGAGCGGUGCUGGUGGCUGACGGUGGGAACGAUGAGUUCGUGACUUUUACUGAUAUUUUGCGUGCUUAGCGCUUUCGUUGUGAUUCUGCUGGCAGGUUCAUAUGCUUCGUGUGUAUUUUAGGUGUUGGUUUACGAGCGUUUACAGCCUUCGAAAUUGUUCACAGGUUUGAUAAUUAAAACAAGGAAAAAAAUGUUCACCGUGUUUAAAUAAACGCUACUGCCAUCUAUUAAUAAAAAAAAAUGCACUUUCCCACCAUCGGUGGUGAAGGGGUUUUUCUGCUUCAAAAGCGUUCAAAUUGA